AUUGAACGCUGGCGGCAUGCCUUACACAUGCAAGUCGAACGGCAGCACGGGAGUAAUCCUGGUAGGCGAGUGGCGAACGGGUGAGUAAUAUAUCGGAACGUGCCCAGUCGUGGGGGAUAACGUAGCGAAAGCUACGCUAAUACCGCAUACGAUCUAUGGAUGAAAGCGGGGGAUCGCAAGACCUCGCGCGAUUGGAGCGGCCGAUAUCAGAUUAGCUAGUUGGUGGGGUAAAAGCUCACCAAGGCGACGAUCUGUAGCUGGUCUGAGAGGACGACCAGCCACACUGGAACUGAGACACGGUCCAGACUCCUACGGGAGGCAGCAGUGGGGAAUUUUGGACAAUGGGCGAAAGCCUGAUCCAGCAAUGCCGCGUGCAGGACGAAGGCCUUCGGGUUGUAAACUGCUUUUGUACGGAACGAAAAAGUCUGCCCUAAUACGGUGGGCUCAUGACGGUACCGUAAGAAUAAGCACCGGCUAACUACGUG
This 485-nucleotide ribosomal RNA is filed under the name uncultured bacterium. RNAcentral's name for it is "bacterial SSU rRNA". It matches the Rfam family "Bacterial small subunit ribosomal RNA", at positions 30 to 507 of the family's 1533-position model. The record is from RNAcentral.